CCAAUCCAACAACUGACUAAAAUCAACCCAAUAGGACCUUCUCUCACCCCACCUCCAAAACGCUGAACAGGACCAAACACGGCCUUAGUAAAACACGACGUACCCGCGCACAUUUGUACUAGCCUAAGAGCAUGUUCGGAAAGCCUACGCUUAUGAGACUUAGUUCGUGUUUGGCUAGGAUUUAGUUCUCCAAUUUAGACAGACAAGCCAUCGGACGCGAAAGCUUUGGGUGAGGAAGGAAAACACUCGAUCUCAACCUCUUCAAGCCCAGGUCGAUUUCUCUUUCUUUCUUGCUCUAAUUUUCAUCAUAUUCCAAUUUAAUUUUUGGGGUUUUUUUUUUCUAUUUUUAUAUUCCCUUAGAGAUCUCAACUGGGUUCUGAUUAUUUAUCGGGAUUUUUUUUUUUUUUUUUGUUCAUUGAAACUUAAAAUGUCGAGUUUUGACCACUGAACUUUGGAAUAUGUCAUACGUUACUCACUAGCAUAAUUGUUAAAUUUUGAAAAAUAUCGAGUUUAAAGUGAGUAAUGUACAGUAUUUUUCAAAGUUCGGUGAGUAAUGUACAAUAUUUUUUAAAAUUCAUUGAGUAAUGAAUAACAUUUUUCAAAAUUUAGUGGUCAAAACUUGAUAUUUUAAACUCUAGUGAGCAAUCGAAGACAUGAACCUAAGUUCAGUGAUCAAAACUCGACAUUUUACAUUUCACUGACCAAUCAAAGACAUGGACAUAAGUUUAGUGAUCAAUGGAACAAUUAACUCCACUAUUUCAUAGGCAAUUAAACUUUAAAAGUUUUUUGGAUGAUCACCGAAUUUAUUAAAUUAUUAUUACAUCCAUCUCUCAAUGACUUAUCAUUAAAAAAUUCGACAGACUCGUUGACAAGAGGACAAAAUAUACUAUGAUGUCAUAUUAUUGUCGUUUGUUGAUGAUAGAUAAUUCAAAAAGGAGCUUAACUAUAUAUACUUAACCAAAAAAAGUAAAAAUAAUUCUAAAUAAAAUAACAGCUAAACAAAAGAAAACGUGCAAAUAUUAAAACUCAAUCACAAAUUUUAUAAGCCUUCAAUAGAUGGAAAUGGGGUUUUGGCUAAUUUAUUGUCCACUAACGAUUAUAAUGAGUCAUGCCAGUAUUUCCAUUUGCCAUGUCAAUGAGCUCGUUGAAUUUUUUCAUGGUGGGUUACUGAGUGAUGAGAUAACGAUUUGAUAAGUUCAGUGACUAUCCGAAAUAAAACUCUUAAAGUUUAAUGACCAGUAAGAUAACGAUUUGAUAAAUUUGGUUGCCAUUCGAAAAACUACAAAAAUUUAAUGGAUGGUGAAAAAUAUUUUGCAAAGUUCAAUGCUGGUUGAUUGUAUAUUUCAUUGUAAUACUAUGACUUAGAUUAUCAUUUCUUAUUUGAUCUUUUUGAAUUCAAUAUUCAGGUUACCAUCGAAUCUAUUCAUUAAAAAUAAUCGAUUUUGAUACAUUUAUUGCAUUGAUCAACAAGCUCUUUUGAUAGAAGCUUCUUUUAAGCAAACUAUCAUAUAGCUUCAAAGUAAUUAUGUAAAGCUUCCGCAUAGUCUAUUGGACAGAGCUGAAAUUCGUUAUGGUCUUUCAAGAAUCUUUUUUCCAAGAUUCGCUAAGUUUUCGAGGCCCUUAUUCUUCUUGGAAUCUGUUAUUUUGGUUCUCAUUGAGAUGAUCAGAGAAAAUGGAUACUAACUAUUUGAAACAAACUCAAUUCGGGGCAUAUAUUUAUUAAAAGAUGACACGAUUCAAAAUCUCAAUAGAGCCAUUGUUGCUUUUUGCUUCUUGCUCAACAUUGAGACAUUACACACAAUGAGACCACAUUGCAAACAAAACCAAAAUAUCAUAAAAAAGAGCCUUAUUUUGGAAAGUGCAUUAACCAUUGUUAGAGUACGACUGGCUUAACUCAUUGCGAAAAGGCUAAAUUUGGACUUCUGUCAAUUAUGAGCGAUCAUAGCAUCAACAAAAUUAUUGUUCUUAAUUAAUAACGAAGUGAUUUGAUAAUAAUAAAAUGUAUUCUGAAUCAUAGAUAAAUAUCGAUAUAUCAAAAUCAAUAAUAUUAAAUCUGCAUCAAAAUAGUUCGUUUGUAUUGCCAUUGUGAUAUCAUUGAUUUUCUUUGUUUGGUCCAACAAACAAAAAACAUGAAAAUUCCCAAUCCAACAACUGACUAAAAUCAACCCAAUAGGACCUUCUCUCACCCCACCUCCAAAACGCUGAACAGGACCAAACACGGCCUUAGUAAAACACGACGUACCCGCGCACAUUUGUACUAGCCUAAGAGCAUGUUCGGAAAGCCUACGCUUAUGAGACUUAGUUCGUGUUUGGCUAGGAUUUAGUUCUCCAAUUUAGACAGACAAGCCAUCGGACGCGAAAGCUUUGGGUGAGGAAGGAAAACACUCGAUCUCAACCUCUUCAAGCCCAGGUCGAUUUCUCUUUCUUUCUUGCUCUAAUUUUCAUCAUAUUCCAAUUUAAUUUUUGGGGUUUUUUUUUUCUAUUUUUAUAUUCCCUUAGAGAUCUCAACUGGGUUCUGAUUAUUUAUCGGGAUUUUUUUUUUUUUUUUUAACACUGCAGAGUGGACGAGGAUACAUCUUAAAUGACUGCUGCACAAUUUACUGUUUGCUGCAUCUUAUAACUUCUUGAUUUUCCAUUUUGAAAAUGGAUUUUGUUAAAUGGCUGAUGACUUCUUUAUUCUCUCGUUUGUGCUGGUUCGAUGCUAUCAUAUAUUACUUUUGAGCUGAGGAAGCUCAAAGUAAAAUGGUGUUUUACAGUAUGAAGUUUGACUGAGAAAGGUGUGUUCCACCUUUCCUGAACAUGUAUUUUGUUGACACAAUUAACUCACUAGAAGCUGCAGCAUGGAAAGUGAGGAAAAUAUAGAAACUGGU
This 2870-nucleotide long non-coding RNA is filed under the name Olea europaea (common olive). Its description in RNAcentral is "long non-coding RNA (OEUR_LNC001330)". The record is from RNAcentral. Lineage: Eukaryota; Viridiplantae; Streptophyta; Magnoliopsida; Lamiales; Oleaceae.